AGACACAUUCGGGUCGACUUUAUUACAUACCAUAUAUAAACAAACAACCCGGUCCUUUUGUUUCCCCAUUCUUCAUCUUCUCUCAUACGACAUUCAAUCCUUUUCCCUCUGCCCUUUCUGAAACCCUAAUUGCAUAUAACAUCAUCAGAUCCAGUCCAUCGAUCCUUCAUGUGGUUCAAGAUUUAAACUAAUAUUGAUCAAAGGAUACUUGCCGCAUCUGAUCUCCGAUUAAAUACAUAUUGUUUGAUACAUCGUGUUUCCGAUUUCGAAAACAUUCCAAACCCUAAAUAUCUGUCGUUUUCAUCUAUGGCGAUCUCAUCUAUGGCUUUAAAUCGUGUAAUCCGAUUUAGUGCCUAGAAUAUUGCAUUGCGAUGAAGAUGAUUAGAUCCUGUGACGGUGGUCUUACAGCAGAUCUAGGGUUUAACGGUGAUUCUAGGCGGCGGCUAGGACUCGGGUUAUAGUGCACGACAAGAAGGAUUUCUUGGUUCACCCAAAAGGCUCCUCAUUGAAGCUUCAAUAUCAAUAUGAGGAAUUUCUAGACAAAAACAAAGAUUAUGUUGUUCUCGGACAUCAAGAUAUGUUGACUACUUCUCAUUGUGUUUCUUUUUUUUUUCUCUGUCUGGUAUACUUUCCCUCCAUUGCAUGAUGAGGCAACUAACACUUCAAAUAAAUCUUUUAGUUUAUCAGAGAAAAAAAAGAUUUGAUUUGUUAUGUUUGUCAACUUGGGGUUAUAUUGGCGUGAGUCAUGGCGAAGUAUCUCGAUCACAUCAGAGAGGGGGUGGAUGCAUGUGGUUUGGCGUUUUUUGGGUUAGCUUUAAACAAAGUAUACAUUCGUUUAUUUGUUUUAUAUAUUUAUUUGAGAUUCAAUUAUUGUGUCAUGCUUUUUGAAUUGCUUAAAGGUGGAAACCUGGUCAUUGGUCGUUUUGUGUCAAUGGGCAGCCCUUCUACUUUCACUCUUGAGUAUUUUUGGGCUAUGGGGUAUAUGGUUUUUUUGACUCUUUUGUUAUUGGACUGAAUAUCGUUCAUGCUUUCAAGGUGGAGUCUAUAUUUAAUCACAACAAAAGUUCUGUCUACUUCUGAAUUUUUAUAGAUCAAUCUGGUGGCCAAUUCUUGAGUAUUUUUGGGCUAUGGGGUAUAUGGUUUUUUUUACUCUUUUGUUAUUGGACUGAAUAUCGUUCACGCUUUCAAGGUGAAGUCUAUAUUUAAUCACAACAAAAGUUCUGUCUACUUCUGAAUUUUUAAUAGAUCAAUCUGGUGGCCAAUGAAUCAUUUUCUUUAGCAGCACUUUCAGAUUUCACUGUAGGAAACUAGGCACCAAGGCAGUGUUGCUUAUCGCAAAGGCUCUUACAGCUGGAACCAUAUGCAACAACACAUCAGUCACACCCCUACCUGAUGUUGCUCUGAAUUGGUGGGAGUUGAGAUGUAUAUAUGGGCUAGAUUGAAGGACUUUGACAUUUUAAGAAAAACUAAUUGGAUUCCUGUACAUAACCUGUACACAACCUGAUAGAUUUUUUACAGAAAUAAAACGUAUGAAUUGGAAUAUGAAUACUAUAAUAUGCAGAUGUUAUGAAGUAGUUUUUAUUCUUUGAAUGGUGAAUCUAUAAGUCAGAGCAAAACGAGAGUUUUUUUUUUUGGAAUUUUGCAAUUUUUAGUAUGGUGGUCGUGGUCGUUAGUGUUGUGCUGACUUUUUGGUCAACAGUUUCUUCAAGCUCCUAUCAAUUUUGGAUUGAUGGGGCCCAGGGUAAUGGUGAAUGCCCAGAGUUUCGUUGGCUUAAUUGGAUGCCAUUGAAAAUUAGAUGCUUUACUUGGAGGUUAUCACUUGAUAGAAUCUUGGUAUCAGCGUCUCUGAUCAACAGAGAUGUGUGCUGAUACGUGAUAUGUUCUGCUCCCAAUGCUCCCUCGAGGCAAAGGACUUGGACCAUUUAUUCAUUUGUUGUCCGGUGGCCAAAGUCGUGUGAUUGAAGGUGUCCAAUUGGGUUGGGCAUAGAUAUUAGUUGUUGCUCCUCAUUUUUAGAGCUUUUGGUUUGGCUACGAAGUCUACAGGUUCCGCCCUAGAGAAGAAAAUGCUGGUCCUUAUUGUCUAUGCAAUGAUUUGGUUCUUAUGGUAACAUCGGAACUCAAGGAAGUUCUCUAUAAAAUGUGCCUCGGAUGAAGACCUCAGAUGCAAGUUUGUGAAGCCUUCUUUCGAAAACUUCAUACUCCCAACAAAAAAGUAUCCCGACAUCAUCUUCCCGCGUGGAGGAGACAACCAUGUAGCUAUUGAUUUAAUUGUCCAGCACAUUCGGACAAAACUUGGUCAACACAAUCUUUGCAAAAUAUAUCCCAAUUUAUACGUUAUUCACUCAACUUUUCAGGUUGUUGAGCAUGGUUUGGGACAUUUACCUUUUACGGAAAAGCAGGUGACAACUCCAACUGGUCGGUAUACACAGGCGUUGACUUCUGUAAUAGAUUAUGUGGCUUUUCUGUUAUUUCGACAUGAUAAAGGUAAGCAUAUUUAGAUACGGCAGAAGAAGAAAUCGGUUACAAUGAAAUCGGUUAAUUUCAGUGGAAGAAAAAGAGAAUGAGGAGAUUGAAGAGGAAGCGUCGAAAGAUGAGGCAGAGAUCUAAGUAAUCUUUUUGUUGGUAAUCAUCAUCGGUAUCGUAUUGGUUUCCGUUUUAUAUAUGUGUGAUUACCGAUUGGUAAGUUAUUGGGGUAACUCUAAUUAGGUUAUGACAAUAUGGUAGUCUCAUGGGCUUUACAGGCUGUUUUUUUCCAUCUUCAUGACAUUGAUUUUUUGUUUAAACAUAUGAAGUUGCAAAUAGAUUGUAGCAUUUUGAAAUCAAUUUUUAUGUCACAUUUUAAGCAAAAGUUGUCAUGGUUUUUGGAUUUUAGCUUUAAUUUUCAAGUUACAGUUUAUCAGUUAGGUCCAGCCUCAUUUUGUGGUGUCCUUGGUUUCCGGCCUUCACAUGGGUCUGUAUCCACUUUUGGGGUUCUCCCAAAUUCACAUAGUUUAGACACUGUUGGUGUGUAAUUUCGUUAUCUUCUAUAUUGUCCUGUUUAACCUUCUAAUUUGUUACAUGUUUGGCAUAAAACACAACUUAUUGGAGUAUUGAGGCUCUUAGUUUGUGUGAAAUCGACAGACCCGUAAGGAAUAUUUUUACAUCAUGGUUCUGAUAUUUAUUUACCAUUUUAACUGAUAGCUAUCCUACGUAUAAUUUUUAAUUGAAAAACCUCAGGAAUAUUUGCUCGUGAUCCUUUCUUAUUGAAUCGGGUUGGACAUGUUCUUCUUCAGCUUAACCAAGUGGAACCUAGAAGGACAAGACACAUAAUUAUGGCAGAUGAUUUAUUUCAGCUAUCUAAAGUUCCUCAACAGAAGACUGUAUAUAUUAUAAUCAAAGUAACUGAAAGUUAUCCGGUUACCACUCACCGAAGCAUAUGAACAUUGGUCAAUAUAUUUUGUCAAACGUACCAAGCCUUAAAUAUUUCCUACAAAUUGGAGCAAAUUCUUUGAAAGCUCUCUCUUUUCAACAAUGUUAUCACUACAGAGAUAUGAGUUCAAAACCAAUCAUGAAGAAUGGAUUAAUACAGUCAAGCCCAGGCUAGGAUCUGAUGUGUCUGAUAGCGUUCAUGCAGCAAUUACAGCCACACAUGAAAAUAUUGAAGCUUACUACAUGGUCAGAACUGAAAUGCGCGCAGCUCCAUUGGCGAAGCAUAGUGGGGGCGGGAGGGGGCGCCCGACCCCCCGAAGUUUUCGCUCAAUAGUGGAGAGUAUGUAGUUUUCGUAUAGAAAUUUUUAGGUGGUGCUUGGGGGUCGCCAGGAUGCAUCUGCUGUUACCACAACCGAUCAUCGUGCAGGGAAGUUUGAAGCCAAAUUUUAUGACAAGCUGCAAGAAGAGAUUGGAGGCGUUAAAGGACAUUUCGGGCCAAUUAUUUCACGAAAAUGAGUCAAUUAAUAUAUGCUUUUUGGCGACACUAGGCAAAAGCACCGAUGAUGCAGUUGUUGCUGGCUGUUGAAUGUCUAAAAUACCACUUACUUUAGAUUUGCAGAUGAAGAUACUAUUUUGACUAAGGAUGUGGACUUUCUUUGUGGGGUCGAAGUAAAUUUGACUAUGGGAUCAACUCAAAUAUAUAUUAUACACAUUAUUAUAACUUUUUUACACGUUAUUAUACUUUAAUUUUUCUAUUAUUGUUAACAAAAAUGAUUAAUAAAAUACGUAUUUAUAUUUAA
This is a long non-coding RNA of Helianthus annuus (common sunflower), 4208 nucleotides long. RefSeq lists it as uncharacterized. The record is from RefSeq and is a predicted model, not a curated record. The transcript has 9 exons. Lineage: Eukaryota; Viridiplantae; Streptophyta; Magnoliopsida; Asterales; Asteraceae.